CAAUCGUUAAAGGGCACUGACUGGUAUGAGGCAGGCGUAUCCUUAUAAGGUGCGUGACGUGGGACUGAGGCGUAUGUUGCGAGUAAGGAGAGAAACCGAGCACUUCAGCACUACUUUGGAAGGAACAGAGAGGGAGAGAGCUAGAUGCGGCGGCCGAGGGAAGGGAGCUAGACGUGGACCGAGAAGGUGACGCCGUGUCGUUCCCUCCUUCUACCCUAACCGCCCGCUCCCGGACGCCCCGCCGCUUCUCCCCUAUGAGGCCGCCCGAUGGUCGCCGCCGUCUCCGAAUCGCGGACGAAGAAGAGGACUUCCUAGUAGCAGUUGAGUGACGACGAGUAUCUCUGAAGGUUCCUGUCAAUGUUGUUAAGACCUCGUACAUAGCAGGAGUUAGGAGGACUAAAACGAUGGCAGUAAAGGUAUCGUAAGUUCUACAUUUUGGAGCUGGGCACCAUACUAAUUAUAACCCAAGGAUUCGAACUUUACAAAUACCGUACUUAUCAUGAACCAAGAUAGUACAAAUACAUCAUAGUUAAUAAAAACGACCUUCUGAUGGUACUCCGCAUUGACAUUGUGGGGCCUACAUUGAAAGGUAUAAACAUUGAGGUUGAGAACGGUAAAAACCGAUACACAAUACUAUAAGGGAGACAUCAACCCAAAACAG
RNAcentral lists this ribosomal RNA (661 nucleotides) under Triticum aestivum (bread wheat). RNAcentral describes it as "partial small subunit ribosomal RNA". The record is from RNAcentral. Lineage: Eukaryota; Viridiplantae; Streptophyta; Magnoliopsida; Poales; Poaceae.